AACGGUCUAUACCUGCGGUACCUGCGGAAGGAUCAUUACCGAGUUUACAAAACUCCCAAACCCUUUGUGAACCUUACCUAUCGUUGCUUCGGCGGGACCGCCCCGGCGCCCUCGCGGCCCGGAACCAGGCGCCCGCCGGAGGCCCCAAACCCUCAUGUCUUUAGUGGUUUCCUCCUCUGAGUGACAUAAACAAAUAAAGUAAAAACUUUCAGCAAUGGAUCUCUAGAUCGGAAGAGCACA
RNAcentral lists this unclassified non-coding RNA (240 nucleotides) under soil metagenome. Its description in RNAcentral is "partial contains 5.8S ribosomal RNA, internal transcribed spacer 2, and large subunit ribosomal RNA". The record is from RNAcentral.